CCUACGGGAGGCAGCAGCCGAGAAUAUUCGACAAUGGACGAAAGUCUGAUCGAGCGACGCCGCGUGACUGAUGAAGUCCUUCGGGACGUAAAGGUCUUUUGGAAGGGAGAAAGUUAUUGAUAGUACCUUCAGAAUAAGGAGUUGCUAAACUCGUGCCAGCAGCAGCGGUAAUACGAGUGCUCCAAGCGUUAUCCGGAAUCAUUGGGCGUAAAGGGUGUGUAGGUGGUCUUGUUAGUCUCCUGUCAAAACUUCUGGCUCAACCAGAAAUCUGCAGGGGAAACGGCAAGACUUGAGGAUGCGAGAGGUAUGCGGAACUCAUAGUGUAGGGGUGAAAUCCGUUGAUAUUAUGGGGAACACCAAAAGCGAAGGCAGCAUACUGGCGCACUCCUGACACUGAAACACGAAAGCGUGGGUAGCGAAUGGGAUUAGAUACCCCAGUAGUCCACGACCUAACGAUANAUCACUAGCUAUUACGUAGUAUACGACCUCCUGAGUGGCGAGACUAACGUACGUAAGUAGAUCGCCGUCGGUAGUACGACCGCGAAGUAAACGUACAAGAGAGUAGACGCGNGAGAGCGACGACGACGACGACGAGGAGAG
Molecule: ribosomal RNA, 600 nt
Filed under: uncultured bacterium
Lineage: Bacteria
Description: bacterial SSU rRNA
Rfam family: Bacterial small subunit ribosomal RNA (bases 1-525)
Source: RNAcentral